Molecule: ribosomal RNA, 350 nt
Filed under: uncultured bacterium
Lineage: Bacteria
Description: bacterial LSU rRNA
Rfam family: Bacterial large subunit ribosomal RNA
Source: RNAcentral
CUGAAUGGGGCAACCCACUAUAUUGAAGGUAUAGUAUCCCGCAAGGGAAGUGAACCCGGUGAACUGAAACAUCUAAGUAGCCGGAGGAAGAGAAAACAAAAGUGAUUCCGGGAGUAGUGGCGAGCGAAACCGGAUUAGCCCAAACCAGUGUUGUUUCGGCAAUACUGGGGUUGUAGGACCACGACAUUGAUUGCGUAAUGAAUUAGAACACUUUGGAAAGAGUGACCGAAGAGGGUGAUAGUCCCGUACAAGUAAAGAGCGUUAAUUAUAGUGGUAUCCUGAGUAGUGCGGGGCACGUGAAACCCUGUAUGAAUCAAGCGGGACCAGAAGUUAAGGCUAAAUACUCCGAG